CGUGAAUCAUGUCCGCUUUCAUUUAAUUACACUUUUAGACUACAAGACAAAGAGUUUCCCAAACAGCUGCAGGUGCGUCCGUCAUCUACGGUUUACUGUAUUUAACACACUUUUUAGGUGGAUUUUGGUCUGAUUGCUGUGGAGCAUCGAAGGCAAGUUAAACAGCAGCAUGUGUGCAGUUUACUGUCGUCCCCAUGAACAAUUAACGGAAGAAGCUCUGGCUGCAGCCACAUUUCUACCAAGACAUACAUGAAUUUCGAUUUUGACCUUUCGCUGUUGAUGAUACAAGGUUGAAUUUGUUCUUUGAGGAGGAUCUUAAAUAGUGUCCUGUUGUUUCAACUACUGGUCCUCACUGAAGUGUAGAUCAAAGGAAGCAUCGGUGACAUUUAUGAAUGGAAUUGUCGAACUGCCCAAGGAUGUGUUCAUUUUUAUGAUAACAAAAAUACAAUUAUAACAAAAUGAAUCACUUCCUCUUUCUGCCGAGGCACCCUUUUGACUUUGCUAUGGCAACAACCGCCUUUCAAAGAUCUGGUUUCUGCUGCUGUACCACCGUACACACACACACACACACACACACACACACACUCUCGCUGCAUCCUUUGUGAGGCCGUCACACGAGCUACCGCUGUCACCAUUUGGAUGCAGCGGUCCAGUGGAGCGACCCAAAGCUAAAGGCUCGGAUGUCGCCUGGUCUAAAGGAUGCCCUUUCAUUGAUGAAUGGUGGUGAGCUGGCCAUUCUUGUGAUGCCAUCUUGUCCUAGGGGGGGGGUGAUACAAGAAUUGUGCAAAACAAAAAAAAAAGCUUAAGCAGAAUGUUUACGCGCGGGCUAAGUCGCUCUUAUUUGUCAGUGGGAGGGUUUCUUAUUCGCAGCCUUCAAGAGACACUUCCUGCUCGUUACAAGGGCAGCAACCACGCGCCCUUAAAUCCACGGUUCCCCUUUCUUGAACCCUGCUGUGAGGGAAAUGAGUCACCGUCGCUAAGGAAGUGAGACGGCGUGCGGUCGCGUGUAAGUCACAGGGUGCGCUCGGCCUUCGCUCAGCAGACCUCUCAAGGCGCUCGGAAACCCGUGAGCGCGGUUUUUUUUUUUUGGGCGUUGGAGCUUCUGCAGAAAGGCGUUCAAACGUGGAGAAAUCCAGAGAGAGGAAAGCUCAACGGCACAGAGUGGAGUGGGAGGAAUACAAUUGUACCGUUUGCUUAAAAUAUUCGGAAACUUCCUGUUACCAAAACGUGGCGCAAUCUGCUGUAGAAUAACUGACAGUCGGACGCAUACACAAACACACACACGCGCACACACGCACAGACUGACUUCCGCAACAGGUUUGCAGAGGCUGCUUAGACAUGUUGCAUUUUCUCUCCUUUUUCCUUUGUUGAGAGGACAGUAAUCCAGAGCUCAUCUUGAGGGGAAAUCGAGCGAGGCGUGUACUGAAUGUACAGACAAGCUUCUAUUGAUUUGUAGCAGUGAAUGAAGAUCCACCGACCCGAUCUAACAGGAACAAAACGGUUCCUCAAUGCGAGCCGGUUGCCGGGUGAUGCUGCGGUUCCCUGUUACACUGUGAGCUGUGAUUUGUGAGGCUUCCAUCUUUUCAACCUGUUGUCGAAUCAGCGUGACCACAUGAAUAUAUCCUUCAAACACAUAUUGCAGAGCCUUCUGUCUGCUUCUCCUUGCCAUCUCUCUUUUUUCCUUCAUUUUUUUUUUUUUUUUCAAAUACUUGAUCAUUUAUAUUCAGUUACUGCAGUAAAUGUGGUCUCCAUGGUAGCUCCGACAGAUUCGAUGGUGAUGGGGGAGGGGGGCUUAACUCAGGGUAAUGCAGGUAGGCAGAAAUCUGUUCUCCAUCAAGCUGGCCAAACAGUUAUUUCCUUUCCCUUCUCUGUUGCUUGAUUUGGUUAAGAUGGUUUCUGUUGGUCCCACGUUGUUCAGCAGCAGAUUCUAAAACAAAAAUGGACAACUAACAAGAGUUAUAAACAACUAGGUGGAUGGAAAGCUUUCCCAAAUACAGCAGGAAACCGAUGUCGUAGGAAUUAAAGGAUAUUCUAUACCCGUCUUAUAUGAGCACUGUAGUUGAACUAACAUGCACUGUCUCACAUGGCUGGAAAUGAUACGAAAUGGACUUUUUAACUUUUCAGCUGUGUGAGUAACAUUCAAUAAUAUGAUUUUGUUGUUACAUUAAUGUAUUCAGGAAGAACAAAUAAUGAGCCAAGUGAGAAAGACUUUGGGGAUUGUCAUUGGAUAACUUAAGACGAAACAAAUACUCAAUCUAAUUCCAUCUAUAUCAUUUUAAAAGUACUAAGACGAGACGGCCACUCCCAGAGCUUUCAACAGGCCUUUUUUUGUAGUGUAAUCGCCUGUUUUGUCAGCUUACUUUAGAGUCAACAAUAAUGAUCUGUUGAAUCUGCGAAUACAAUGGUCUGAUCCUCGCUGGGCUCACAUCCUCCUCACGCG
Gasterosteus aculeatus aculeatus (three-spined stickleback) is the source of this 2440-nucleotide long non-coding RNA. The record is from Ensembl. NCBI's taxonomy places the organism in Eukaryota, Metazoa, Chordata, Actinopteri, Perciformes, Gasterosteidae.